GUCAGAAAAGUUACCACAGGGA
Molecule: small nuclear RNA, 22 nt
Filed under: Arabidopsis thaliana (thale cress)
Lineage: Eukaryota; Viridiplantae; Streptophyta; Magnoliopsida; Brassicales; Brassicaceae
Description: snRNA_03794
Source: RNAcentral